Molecule: non-coding RNA, 227 nt
Filed under: Streptomyces sp. DSM 15324
Lineage: Bacteria; Bacillati; Actinomycetota; Actinomycetes; Kitasatosporales; Streptomycetaceae
Description: Streptomyces RNA 1601
Rfam family: Streptomyces RNA 1601
About the family: Identified by deep sequencing of transcriptome at the end of exponential growth phase. Appears longer on northern blot than sequencing transcript.
Source: Rfam by way of RNAcentral
AACGACCGGUCGGACACGCGUGCCACCCAGCAGGCGGGCCCGGCCCACAAGUGGAGGCUCCGAACUCCCACCCGAUCGCCCCCCGAGGGCGGCGGGUCACCCCGGUCAGGCGGCCGCCAUCGUUCCGUACGGACGAUGGAGUCGCCCGGUAGUGCGCCCCGCGAUCCCCGCGAGGGUGCUCCGGUAGUGCUUGGAGCCCCCGCAUGUGAUCGUUCGGGGCAUUUUUU